CCUACGGGUGGCAGCAGUGGGGAAUAUUGCACAAUGGGGGAAACCCUGAUGCAGCGACGCCGCGUGAGUGAAGAAGUAAUUCGUUAUGUAAAGCUCUAUCAGCAGGGAAGAAACUAACGAUACUUGAGUAUGAAUACCCGGCUAAUUACGUGCCAGCAGCCGCGGUAAUACGUAGGGGGCAAGCGUCAUCCGGAUUUACUGGUUGGAAAGGGAGCCUAGACGGCAGUGCAAGUCUGUAGUGAAAGGCGGGGGCUCAACCCCCGGACUGCUCUGGAAACUGUACGGCUGGAGUGCAGGAGAGGGAAGUGGAAUUCCUAGUGUAGCGGGGAAAUGCGUAGAUAUUAGGAGGAACACCAGUGGCGAAGGCGGCUUACUGGACUGUAACUGACGUUGAGGCUCGAAAGCGUGGGGAGCAAACAGGAUUAGAUACCCGAGUAGUC
This 440-nucleotide ribosomal RNA is filed under the name uncultured bacterium. RNAcentral's name for it is "partial 16S ribosomal RNA". It matches the Rfam family "Bacterial small subunit ribosomal RNA", at positions 338 to 795 of the family's 1533-position model. The record is from RNAcentral.